Molecule: non-coding RNA, 540 nt
Organism: Maylandia zebra (zebra mbuna)
Lineage: Eukaryota; Metazoa; Chordata; Actinopteri; Cichliformes; Cichlidae
Source: RefSeq, a predicted model, not a curated record
CACCACGAGCUUCCUCAAAAAGCGCCUGAAAUUCAAAAGACAUCUGUCCAAAAACUGCCGGGAUUUCUUGGACGCGUGUUUAACCAAAGUCCCGGAGACGCGGCCGACGCUGGAGGAGCUACAGCAUCACACUUGGCUGAGAUAAGCCUAUCACACACACACACAAACACACACAAUUCAGACGUUAUCAUUUAUGUGUGAUGUAUGAAUUACCUUUCUUUUUUUCAGGAAAUAAUUUUUUUUAAUUGGCCCACUUUAAAUUUCAGUGUUUUGGAAUUCCUGUAACCCCCCCAGCCAUCCCAGGAAAGGGGAUCUCUCUUUGAAUGGGCUUUCCCGAGGUUUCUUCCCGUCAGUCUGGCCCCCCAGGGGAGUUUUUCCUCGUCUUCAUAGAGAGCUUGGGCUGGCUCAGGAGCUCCAUCAAAACUGUCUUUAUUUAAUUACUCUAAUGUAAUCAUAUACUUUAAAGUAAUCAAAUAAAAGACAGUAAAAAUCUGAAGACUUGAAGUAAACUUCCAUUAAAAUAAAACUUGUUUAAUUCAU